Molecule: unclassified non-coding RNA, 222 nt
Filed under: plant metagenome
Description: partial contains small subunit ribosomal RNA, internal transcribed spacer 1, and 5.8S ribosomal RNA
Source: RNAcentral
UCUCCGUAGGUGAACCUGCGGAGGGAUCAUUACAGAGUUCAUGCCCUCACGGGUAGAUCUCCCACCCUGUGUUAUUAUACUUUGUUGCUUUGGCAGGCCGCCCGCGUGGGCUACCGGCUCCGGCUGGUAAGUGCCUGCCAGAGGACCCCAAACUCUGAAUAUUUUAUUGUCUGAGUACUAUAUAAUAGUUUAAAACUUUCAACAACGGAUCUCUUGGUUCUG